GCUCAGGAUGAACGCUGGCGGCGUGCCUAACACAUGCAAGUCGAGCGAUUCUCUUCGGAGAAGAGCGGCGGACGGGUGAGUAACGCGUGGGUAACCUGCCCUGUACACACGGAUAACAUACCGAAAGGUAUGCUAAUACGAGAUAAUAUACUUUUAUCGCAUGGUAGAAGUAUCAAAGCUCCGGCGGUACAGGAUGGACCCGCGUCUGAUUAGCUAGUUGGUAAGGUAACGGCUUACCAAGGCGACGAUCAGUAGCCGACCUGAGAGGGUGAUCGGCCACAUUGGAACUGAGACACGGUCCAAACUCCUACGGGAGGCAGCAGUGGGGAAUAUUGCACAAUGGGCGAAAGCCUGAUGCAGCAACGCCGCGUGAGCGAUGAAGGCCUUCGGGUCGUAAAGCUCUGUCCUCAAGGAAGAUAAUGACGGUACUUGAGGAGGAAGCCCCGGCUAACUACGUGCCAGCAGCCGCGGUAAUACGUAGGGGGCUAGCGUUAUCCGGAAUUACUGGGCGUAAAGGGUGCGUAGGUGGUUUCUUAAGUCAGAGGUGAAAGGCUACGGCUCAACCGUAGUAAGCCUUUGAAACUGGGAAACUUGGGUGCAGGAGAGGAGAGUGGAAUUCCUAGUGUAGCGGUGAAAUGCGUAGAUAUUAGGAGGAACACCAGUUGCGAAGGCGGCUCUCUGGACUGUAACUGACACUGAGGCACGAAAGCGUGGGGAGCAAACAGGAUUAGAUACCCUGGUAGUCCACGCCGUAAACGAUGAGUACUAGCUGUCGGAGGUUACCCCCUUCGGUGGCGCAGCUAACGCAUUAAGUACUCCGCCUGGGAAGUACGCUCGCAAGAGUGAAACUCAAAGGAAUUGACGGA
This 866-nucleotide ribosomal RNA is filed under the name uncultured bacterium. RNAcentral's name for it is "bacterial SSU rRNA". It matches the Rfam family "Bacterial small subunit ribosomal RNA", at positions 22 to 917 of the family's 1533-position model. The record is from RNAcentral.